Molecule: ribosomal RNA, 301 nt
Filed under: uncultured bacterium
Lineage: Bacteria
Description: partial 16S ribosomal RNA
Rfam family: Bacterial small subunit ribosomal RNA
Source: RNAcentral
CAGUAGCCGCGGUAAUACGUAGGUGGCAAGCGUUGUCCGGAAUUAUUGGGCGUAAAGGGCUCGCAGGCGGUUUCCUAAGUCUGAUGUGAAAGCCCCCGGCUCAACCGGGGAGGGUCAUUGGAAACUGGGAAACUUGAGUGCAGAAGAGGAGAGUGGAAUUCCACGUGUAGCGGUGAAAUGCGUAGAGAUGUGGAGGAACACCAGUGGCGAAGGCGACUCUCUGGUCUGUAACUGACGCUGAGGAGUGAAAGCGUGGGGAGCGAACAGGAUUAGAUACCCGUGUAGUCCCUGUCUCUUAUAC